Molecule: ribosomal RNA, 1015 nt
Filed under: Plasmodium cynomolgi
Lineage: Eukaryota; Apicomplexa; Aconoidasida; Haemosporida; Plasmodiidae
Description: SSU rRNA
Rfam family: Eukaryotic small subunit ribosomal RNA
Source: RNAcentral
GGAUAACUACGGAAAAGCUGUAGCUAAUACUUGCUUUAGCACUCUUGAUUAAGUUCUUGAGUGUGUACUUGUUAAGCCUUUUAAGAAAAAAGUUAUUAACUUAAGGAAUUAUAACAAAGAAGUAACACGUAAUGGAUCCGUCCAUUUUUAGUGUGUAUCAAUCGAGUUUCUGACCUAUCAGCUUUUGAUGUUAGGGUAUUGGCCUAACAUGGCUAUGACGGGUAACGGGGAAUUAGAGUUCGAUUCCGGAGAGGGAGCCUGAGAAAUAGCUACCACAUCUAAGGAAGGCAGCAGGCGCGUAAAUUACCCAAUUCUAAAGAAGAGAGGUAGUGACAAGAAAUAACAAUACAAGGCCAAUCUGGCUUUGUAAUUGGAAUGAUGGGAAUUUAAAACCUUCCCAAAACUCAAUUGGAGGGCAAGUCUGGUGCCAGCAGCCGCGGUAAUUCCAGCUCCAAUAGCGUAUAUUAAAAUUGUUGCAGUUAAAACGCUCGUAGUUGAAUUUCAAAGAAUCGAUAUUUUAAGUAACGCUUUUAGCUUAAUCCACAUAACUGAUACUACGUAUCGACUUUGUGCGCAUUUUGCUAUUAUGUGUUCUUUUAAUUAAAAUGAUUCUUUUUAAGAUCUUUCUCUUGCUCCGGCAUUUGAAGAUCUUGUUACUUUGAGUAAAUUAGAGUGUUCAAAGCAAACAGAUAUAGCAUUGCGCGUUUGAAUACUACAGCAUGGAAUAACAAAAUUGAACAAGUCAGAAUUUUGUUCUUUUUUCUUAUUUUGGCUUAGUUACGAUUAAUAGGAGUAGCUUGGGGGCAUUUGUAUUCAGAUGUCAGAGGUGAAAUUCUUAGAUUUUCUGGAGACAAACAACUGCGAAAGCAUUUGCCUAAAAUACUUCCAUUAAUCAAGAACGAAAGUUAAGGGAGUGAAGACGAUCAGAUACCGUCGUAAUCUUAACCAUAAACUAUGCCGACUAGGCUUUGGAUGAAAGAUUUUAAAAUAAGAGAUUUUCUCUUCGGAGUUAAUC